UCUACCUUAGCAACCAGGCUGCCCCUAGUUGAUCUUGGUUGAUUUUGGAAGCUAAGCAGAACAGCCCUGGUUAGUACCUGGAUGGCAGACUUCUUGGGAGAUGGCAGACUGCUGUAGAC
This 119-nucleotide ribosomal RNA is filed under the name Salvator merianae (Argentine black and white tegu). Lineage: Eukaryota; Metazoa; Chordata; Lepidosauria; Squamata; Teiidae. The record is from RNAcentral.